ACAGCUAGAGUUUGAUCCUGGCUCAGGAUGAACGCUAGCUACAGGCUUAACACAUGCAAGUCGAGGGGCAGCAUGGCGGUUGCUUGCGACCGCUGAUGGCGACCGGCGGAUGGGUGAGUAACGCGUAUCCAACCUGCCCCGCUCCCGGGGACAGCCCUUAGAAAUGAGGAUUAACCCCCGAUGGUGUGGUUAUGCCGCAUGGUUUUUCCACCAAAUGCGAAGGAGCGGGAUGGGGAUGCGUUCCAUUAGGCAGCAGGCGGGGUAACGGCCCACCUGGCCCGCGAUGGAUAGGGGUUCUGAGAGGAAGGUCCCCCACACUGGAACUGAGACACGGUCCAGACUCCUACGGGAGGCAGCAGUGAGGAAUAUUGGUCAAUGGGCGUGAGCCUGAACCAGCCAAGUAGCGUGCGGGAUGAAGGCCCUACGGGUUGUAAACCGCUUUUGCGCGGGGAUAAACUGGGGGACGCGUCCCCCCUUGCAGGUACCGCGCGAAUAAGGACCGGCUAAUUCCGUGCC
Molecule: ribosomal RNA, 516 nt
Filed under: uncultured organism
Description: SSU rRNA
Rfam family: Bacterial small subunit ribosomal RNA
Source: RNAcentral